Molecule: ribosomal RNA, 939 nt
Filed under: Triticum aestivum (bread wheat)
Lineage: Eukaryota; Viridiplantae; Streptophyta; Magnoliopsida; Poales; Poaceae
Description: partial small subunit ribosomal RNA
Source: RNAcentral
AUGGUCAAUUGCUUAAGCGCCGGCGCGACGAUGUCGACACGCUGUGUCAAGCUGAGCUCGCGGCACACAACAAGCUCCUGCAGCGACGGGGAGCUGACCCUGACGUCGCACUUAUGGUUGGGAAACAAAGCCCUGCAGAGGCGGAGCGUGCGCAGGCGCGGGCAGCAGGAGAGCAAGGCGUCGAGGUCGGUGACGCUGUACGUCAGGGACAGCGCCUCGAGUGCGGGGAACUCGGCGCCGGCCGGCACGCGGAGGGAGAAGGGGGAGGCGAAGUCCAGCGCGAUGGAGGUGGCGCCGUCCAGGCGAGGCAGGUCGACGGCGAGGCGGGAACGGCCGAUUAAGUCCGCGGGGAGGCGGAAUUCGAGACUCUCCGGCUCGAGCCGCGCGGCGGCGCGGAGCAGCGAGUUGACGCCGGCGCUGUCUACCCGCUGCUUCUUGGGGCUGGGAAAGCCCCUGCUGCGCCGCUGCCUCUGGGGGACGCGGAUCUUGAGGAGGGAAACCGCGGGCGGGGGAGGAGGGAGCCUCGAUCGAGGGGAAGGGCACGUCGCGGAGGACGAUCUGGCGGAGGCGGGCCCAGAGGCCGCGCCACCGGCGGGAGAGGACUCCGGUGCGGGCGGCGGCGGCGGCGCAAGGGAGGCGGGCGAGGACGAGGAGGAGCACGUCGUCCGGGAGGUCGCUGAGGCGGUCCGCUCCGUCGCCCGUGCCAUCUGGCUCCUGGCCCGAACUCCGGCGAGGCCCCGAGCUCGCCCCCAUCGACGCCCGGAUCUCACCCACCAGGUGGGGACUGUGCAGUCGACCUAUCUCACUCUGAGCAAGUACGAGGUUCCACCAACAUCCCCUUCUGGUCCUUUUAAAAAAAUUAAAAAAAAAAAGCCCAGCCCAGCGUUGAUAUGUGCUACUCCCUCCGUUUCAGUUUACAAAUCCUGCGCGCAUAUCUAG